GCUGUUAUAACAUCUAUGAACCCUUAAUUUAAUUAAAUCUCAGACCCAGAUUUAUAUUGCACAUGAAGAUAUGUAAUCACAUACAUAUACAUUAUAUACAUUAUAUAUCUAUGUGAGCUAUCUUGAUUUACAUCUCCAAUUCCCCAUUUAAUAACUGAAUAUCUAGAGCUUAGGGCACAGAUUUGUAGGGUUCUCAAUCUUAUCCCACAAACACAAAAGAAAAAGGAAGAAUAUAGAGCAAGAAUGUUUCAUAUUUUCAUGUAUACAGAUCUGACCUAUAUAAUGUCAUUGAGUUAUUUGGUUUGAGUUGUGAAUCUGAACUCCCUGUGAGCAACUACUCAUUCCCUCUGCAGUUGAACAUCUGACUAACACAUCUAUGCUUAUAUCAACAAGAACCCGGCCCUAGGCAGACUAGAUGAGUACACAAUAAAGAACCCUAACUAGAGGGAUCAGAGAAAUUCUUUGUAGAAACGAUGAACACAGAUCUGUUAUGAACUAAAAGAACCUGAAGAGAAUGAUAUCAAAAUAAUGAUAGAUAAGAACCCUACAAGAAUGAGAAUUAAUAAAUACUAAUAUCUUAUCUAGUUCUUCAUUGUGCAACUCUUGAGAGACUUGUAAGGAUCAGUGUGUGUGUGUAAAAGACAGUUUAUCUUAUCAUUUUAGAGGAAACAUUUUUCACUUUUCACUUGGGUAUGAGAGAACCCUAAGGAACUUGCAGAGAACUAGCAAUAAAUUAUAUGGCUAGGAAAGUAAC
RNAcentral lists this long non-coding RNA (754 nucleotides) under Daucus carota (carrot). RNAcentral's name for it is "long non-coding RNA (DCAR_LNC002870)". Lineage: Eukaryota; Viridiplantae; Streptophyta; Magnoliopsida; Apiales; Apiaceae. The record is from RNAcentral.